CUUGUGUCCACCCCCUUGCCUUCCAUGCCUGACAGGUAUCUCUUCUGAAGAAUGGAGACCAGGAACAGGCAUAGCCUGAGGUACAACCUCAGUCCCCAGGGACCCCAGCCUGCUUCAGUCGGGAUCCCUGGGGACAUCCUGGCAAGCCUAUCUCAGUCAUGCCCCUGGUGUGUCAGCCUCCCAUCUGAACACUUGCUUUUCCUAUGUUAUAAACUGCAUCAUUCACAGCCCCUAGAAAGCCUCUGUAUAAGAGUUGGUAUGUCUCCCAUGAGUCCAUGGCAUAGGAGAGGAGACGACCAGGACAGCCUUGGGCGACUCUUGGAGAAGGUUUCAAGAGGAGGUGGGAAAGCUGGGUGUCUAACUCACAACUCUGAGUCCAGGAGGCAGAACCAUUCUGUCCCUAUUCCCUCCGUUUCUGGUUAAGGCAGGGGAUCUCAGAGCCUAAACAUCCUCCACUGGCCGUAAGUGUGAUGGGGCAUUACCCCAGCGGGCCACAUGUUGCAAACGAGGAGAAAUUGGCUAGCAGGCCUCCAGGCC
Molecule: long non-coding RNA, 537 nt
Filed under: Rattus norvegicus (Norway rat)
Lineage: Eukaryota; Metazoa; Chordata; Mammalia; Rodentia; Muridae
Description: long non-coding RNA NONRATT001546
Source: RNAcentral